Molecule: ribosomal RNA, 312 nt
Filed under: Uthina sp. Ind119
Lineage: Eukaryota; Metazoa; Arthropoda; Arachnida; Araneae; Pholcidae
Description: partial 12S ribosomal RNA
Source: RNAcentral
AAUUUUAUAAUGAAGGAAACAACUAUUAUAAAAUGGCGGUCUAAUUAAAAUAAAGAAACUCGCCUUCUAAUCGUAAAUACCCGUUACAAUCAAACUCUAAUCACAAGUUUAUAUACCGCCGUUACAGAACUGAAAGCAUAUUAAUUCAAAACUUAAAACAAACAAAAAUCAGGUCAAGGUGUAACCAAUAUUAGAGAAUUGGUAAGUUACAUUAAAGAUUAUUUAAGAAAAGAUAAUAAAAACAUUCCCGAAAAAGAAUUUAUUUGUAUAAACAAAGUUAGCAACUUGAAUAGAAAUAAUAAAUAUAGACGC